GACGAACGCUGGCGGCGUGCCUAAUACAUGCAAGUAGAACGCUGAAGGAGGAGCUUGCUUCUCCGGAUGAGUUGCGAACGGGUGAGUAACGCGUAGGUAACCUGCCUGGUAGCGGGGGAUAACUAUUGGAAACGAUAGCUAAUACCGCAUAACAGUAGAUAUUGCAUGAUAUCUGCUUGAAAGGUGCAAUUGCAUCACUACCAGAUGGACCUGCGUUGUAUUAGCUAGUUGGUGAGGUAACGGCUCACCAAGGCGACGAUACAUAGCCGACCUGAGAGGGUGAUCGGCCACACUGGGACUGAGACACGGCCCAGACUCCUACGGGAGGCAGCAGUAGGGAAUCUUCGGCAAUGGACGGAAGUCUGACCGAGCAACGCCGCGUGAGUGAAGAAGGUUUUCGGAUCGUAAAGCUCUGUUGUAAGAGAAGAACGAGUGUGAGAGUGGAAAGUUCACACUGUGACGGUAUCUUACCAGAAAGGGACGGCUAACUACGUGCCAGCAGCCGCGGUAAUACGUAGGUCCCGAGCGUUGUCCGGAUUUAUUGGGCGUAAAGCGAGCGCAGGCGGUUAGAUAAGUCUGAAGUUAAGGCUGUGGCUUAACCAUAGUACGCUUUGGAAACUGUUUAACUUGAGUGCAAGAGGGGAGAGUGGAAUUCCAUGUGUAGCGGUGAAAUGCGUAGAUAUAUGGAGGAACACCGGCGGCGAAAGCGGCUCUCUGGCUUGUAACUGACGCUGAGGCUCGAAAGUGUGGGGAGCAAACAGGAUUAGAUACCCUGGUAGUCCACGCCGUAAACGAUGAGUGCUAGGUGUUAGACCCUUUCCGGGGUUUAGUGCCGUAGCUAACGCAUUAAGCACUCCGCCUGGGGAGUACGACCGCAAGGUUGAAACUCAAAGGAAUUGACGGGGGCCCGCACAAGCGGUGGAGCAUGUGGUUUAAUUCGAAGCAACGCGAAGAACCUUACCAGGUCUUGACAUCCCUCUGACCACUCUAGAGAUAGAGUUUUCCUUCGGGACAGAGGUGACAGGUGGUGCAUGGUUGUCGUCAGCUCGUGUCGUGAGAUGUUGGGCUAAGUCCCGCAACGAGCGCAACCCCUAUUGUUAGUUGCCAUCAUUUAGUUGGGCACUCUAGCGAGACUGCCGGUAAUAAACCGGAGGAAGGUGGGGAUGACGUCAAAUCAUCAUGCCCCUUAUGACCUGGGCUACACACGUGCUACAAUGGCUGGUACAACGAGUCGCAAGUCGGUGACGACAAGCUAAUCUCUUAAAGCCAGUCUCAGUUCGGAUUGUAGGCUGCAACUCGCCUACAUGAAGUCGGAAUCGCUAGUAAUCGCGGAUCAGCACGCCGCGGUGAAUACGUUCCCGGGCCU
RNAcentral lists this ribosomal RNA (1366 nucleotides) under uncultured bacterium. Its description in RNAcentral is "bacterial SSU rRNA". It matches the Rfam family "Bacterial small subunit ribosomal RNA", at positions 28 to 1381 of the family's 1533-position model. The record is from RNAcentral.